Lupinus albus (white lupine) is the source of this 1304-nucleotide non-coding RNA. The record is from the annotation of a GenBank genome assembly. Lineage: Eukaryota; Viridiplantae; Streptophyta; Magnoliopsida; Fabales; Fabaceae.
UUAAUGGUUAAAAUAUGAAGUAAGUUUAAAAAACUUACUCUCAGAAUAAAUAGAUAUCUCGUAAUAUAUUACUAAACAUAAACCUGUUAUUUUAUGUUUUUAUGAUAUUUUUUAAUUAAAUAAUAUAUUUUAUUAAAUGGGACAAGAAAUUGGGAAGAAACGUGAACAAUUGAUCUCAACAAACAUGGAAAGAUACAGCUAUGUGACAUUGCACUUGUCAUUUCUUGGCCAUUGGCGUACUCAAUUCAAUUUCUUCUUCCUACCAUUUUAGGACUUUAUUUUCUUUGUUUCAAUUACCAAACCCUACAAAUAAAGCAUUCCAUUUUUUCUAUCAAUUCAUCUUAUGAGGUUGGAGUCACACUCCUUAUCUUCCAAAAUUCCCUACUUCAUGUUUUCAGACAUAUAAAACAUAAAUUAUAUUAUAUUAACUUUAUAUUUUCUUAUAAAAAAUAAGAAAGUAAUACAACUUUUCAGGGUGUACACUGACUCAUCUCUAUUUCCUUACACUGAAAGUAAUACAACUUUUCAACGGUAUUUGAAAUUAGUGGUGUACCUACCUGCAAAGUAGGUGAUGUUGCCCCCAGCACUGCAUCCCAUUAAGAAGCAAUUGUUAAAGUCUGCAUAUUGUCGAAUCCAAGGCUCGGACUUAGUGGGGUCUAGUGCUUGAUUUCUGAGCCAGUUAAUUGCGUCGACGGCAUCGUCAUAUGCAGCAGGUAGACGGUGUUCAGGUGCAAGGCGGUAUUCAACGGAGGCAACAAUGGCGGGGAAUUGUGAAGCAAAGGAAGAGCAAGAAUCAUGGAAGACACUAGAAGAAGCAUGAAAGAGGAUGAAGCCGCCACCGUGGAAGUAAAGAAUGACGGGGAGUUUGACGGAGGGAGAUGGAGGAGGGUGAGGGAGGAAGAGGCGGAGGGAGGUGUUGGUGGUUGGGUUUAAGGGGUCUGUGGGUGGGCUGGGUGAUGAAGGGACAAUUGGAACGACGUCGUAGCUCCGGGUAAGGGUGUCGUUUUGGUUGAGGUCAAUCUUCAGGACGUCGUAAAGUUUUGAGGGUUCGAAAGGUGGUGCUUCUUCUGCCAUUGUUGAUUAUAGAUGCUUCCUUUCAGUUUCAGAGUAUAUGUGUCAAAUGUUUUGGAUAUACUCUUAGAAUAGAUAUAUGAUCAAUAAAUAUACGUAGACAUCGAAAAAUAUAUAGGUUUAAAAUGUAAUUUCAUUCUAAUCAAGUGUAUAUAUGUGUCGUAUUGUAUUUUCUUUUGUUUUUGAAGCAAUUGUCUCUAUUAAUCGAAAGAAUCAUAAUUCACAAUUAAUAU